This 468-nucleotide ribosomal RNA is filed under the name uncultured bacterium. RNAcentral's name for it is "partial 16S ribosomal RNA". It matches the Rfam family "Bacterial small subunit ribosomal RNA", at positions 28 to 507 of the family's 1533-position model. The record is from RNAcentral.
GACGAACGCUGGCGGCGUGCUUAACACAUGCAAGUCGAACGGAAAGGCCCUGCUCUUGUGGGGUGCUCGAGUGGCGAACGGGUGAGUAACACGUGAGUAACCUGCCCUUGACUUUGGGAUAACUUCAGGAAACUGGGGCUAAUACCGGAUAGGAGCUCCUGCUGCAUGGUGGGGGUUGGAAAGUUUCGGCGGUUGGGGCUGGACUCGCGGCUUAUCAGCUUGUUGGUGGGGUAGUGGCUUACCAAGGCUUUGACGGGUAGCCGGCCUGAGAGGGUGACCGGCCACAUUGGGACUGAGAGACGGCCCAGACUCCUACGGGAGGCAGCAGGGGGGAAUAUUGCACAAUGGGCGGAAGCCUGAUGCAGCAACGCCGCGUGCGGGAUGACGGCCUUCGGGUUGUAAACCGCUUUCGCCUGUGACGAAGCGUGAGUGACGGUAAUGGGUAAAGAAGCACCGGCUAACUACGUG